UACGUAGGGGGCAAGCGUUAUCCGGAUUUACUGGGUGUAAAGGGAGCGUAGACGGUAAUGUAAGUCUGAUGUGAAGGCCCGGGGCUCAACCCCGGGACUGCAUUGGAAACUAUGUAACUAGAGUACCGGAGAGGUAAGCGGAAUUCCUAGUGUAGCGGUGAAAUGCGUAGAUAUUAGGAGGAACACCAGUGGCGAAGGCGGCUUACUGGACGGAAACUGACGUUGAGGCUCGAAAGCGUGGGGAGCAAACAGG
This 253-nucleotide ribosomal RNA is filed under the name uncultured bacterium. Its description in RNAcentral is "partial 16S ribosomal RNA". It matches the Rfam family "Bacterial small subunit ribosomal RNA", at positions 524 to 776 of the family's 1533-position model. The record is from RNAcentral.